UUUUGGUCUCAUGGAGCUAGCAAUUGAUAGGUAUGUAUGGGGAAUUCAAAAAGCAAGGCAACUCAAGAUACAAAGGCAGCAGAUGUACCUAGGCUAUCAGAUUUAGCUGUACAUGGCUAACAUCAUGCCCUUCUCACAAUGUGUGUACAUGAUGUGUUGCAGGCCAUAUGGAUGGGGCAAAUGUCGAUGAAUACAACACAGAGAAUAUACCCUUAGCUGACAAUCUUGACCAUAGUUACUCAAUGGGUCCAGGUAUAAUUCUGUCUAAAUAUCGUCAAACAUACUUUUUGCAUAAAUCAUAUGUUUUGUAUGUGAUCAAUCAUACCUGGCAGACGACAAGGGGGGCAACAACACAUCAGAUUGGUCCAGUGAUGCUUCUUUGCCGGCCCCCAGUAAUCUCACACUGGUUUAUGACACAGAUGUACCACAAAGUUCAAAUGGUAUUGCACGAUCCGUCUUUCAUAUGAAAUAAUUUGUGCUUACGGGAGCCGGCAUAAACCAGUGUGAGAUUACCAUUUGAGCUUCUGCAUGUGGCCCAUUAAUGUGGUCAAAGCAAGUUCUGUGGUCAGUACUCAAUUUGGUCAGUGAGCUAAACGUCAACUUGGUCAGUACUCUAUUUGGUCAAAGCAAGGUCUAACAAAUAUUUAGCUGCAGGUUUCUUAUACUACUUUGAAUUUAAACCAAGACAAUUUGGUCCAUUGUUAGGAAAAGUUAAGGAUUGUGAGCGAGAAAGUGGAGAGAAAAAAGGUACUUAUCAGCGGCAGGGGCGCGAGUAGGAUGCCCUUUCCCAGGGAACUAAAGUAGGAUUUGUCUUUACAACUAUGUUGUCGCAGUGUUCUCAUUCUGAAGGCGCCGACAGACCAUGAUACUUGAAGAUAUGGACGUGCCAAAUCUGCGCCGACCUCCUCUACGUGAUAUCUCUAAUGUUGAUCAUCAUUCCAAAUGUCUCCAGUGCCAGGUAAAUGCACAUGAUUGCUUAUAGUUUAUCGCAUUGGGUCAUAUACUUUACCUGUUUUUGCAUUGAAAUUGACUACAAAAUUAGUGAGCUCGGAGAACUUAACCCUGUUUGGAUCCAGUUGGGAAUGGGUAAAUCUUGCUAAGCAACUACGAGAGCGCAACAGAACUAAGCUGAUGGGGAUGCGAGAAACUACCAAAUACGACACCUGGUCGACAAAGAUGGAUGCGAGGUGGGUUACUAAUAUGUUUUUAUAGCUAAGUUUGUUUCUGAAUAGUGUAUUCUACUUCACUUAUUUUUUAAUCUAUCUCCCAAAAUGUUUAUAAUGUUAUCCUUGUUGUUUAGCAUCUGUCAGUGGUAGAAGAGAUGAAUCACAAAAGUAAAGCUUGCAGUCAAAAAUAUGUGAAGCUCGGGAGGGCAUAGUGCUCAAAUACGUGUACCUCGAAACUUAAUUUUGUUCGCCUGCAUCAAUCAUCCAGUUCUGGUCUGACUUCAUUUUGCAAGGUCAGUGUGAGCAAUAUUUGCAUUCCACACUAUAUCAUGACCUUUUCUCCAUUUUAUGGGUACCUGCAAAACUAAUUGAAUUAAACAGGGCCACUGAACUUACAGUAACAAGAAUGUCCAGCUACACAAUAGAGCAAGCAAAAUUCAAACAUUUUCUUGUGGCCAGAUUAAAUAUAAAUGUACAUGCACAAGACAUCUUGACCACAAAAUGUAUAAUCACUAAAUUAGGCGGUUCAGCUUGAAGAUAUAUGUUCAUAUGGUGAGUGUAGGACCCAACUCCAGCAACUUUUUAGCUCAGAGAGUAAACAGCCUUAGAAUUUAACAGGAAAAAUCUACAUACAACUCCCUCUAUAACAAAAUAUAAUACAUUUUUGUAUUUCCGACAGCUCCCAAAUCUCUGUAAAAGUACAAUUCUGCCCUCACCAUUGUUCUGCUCCCAGAUCUAUUUGAAUUUUAACCUCGCCGUCGUUAGCACCUCGUGCCUCGCCCAGCAACUCGCGCCUCACUAUUUCCCAGGCACUGCUUGCCGCACCGCACCCAGGCACUCCUCCUUGACCAAGCGCCCAGGUGGAGGCCACCGCUGCUGGCGCUCGUCCUAGCCGCGCUGGCCUAGGCACUCCUCGCCGCCUAGAGGCGCUGCUUGCCCAGGCACUCCUCGCCUAGCAGCAUCUUCUCAUCUGCAAACUGAUUCAAAUUGAUUUCAGAGGAGCCGCAUAGGAGGCGGAUCAAGCGGAGCAGAGACAGUUACUGUACCAAACUGAUUCAAACUGUGCAGUUACUGUAAAUUCACAACAAUUACAGUUAUUGUACAGCUAACAAACUGUGCUCCAGUUACUUGUACUGGAGGAGUAACAAACUGUACAAACAAAAACAGAAACAAAAACUAUACAAACUGAUCUGGACAGAAGCAGUACUAAGAACAGAAUAUUUGCACUAAACUGAAAUUAACCUAACAUUUGCAGAUGCAGAAGCAGUACUCCUAAACAUGCAUGGCUCAUCUACUCCAGAUACAAGUCCUACAAGCUUUAAGUGUUGAUCGUACAAGCCUGCUCCUAAACUUUCAGAGUACAAGCCCUAGACAAUUAUUUAUGCACAUUUCAGAGUUGACAACAUGCAUCAUCUUCUCCUAAAUAAUUUUUGCAUCAUCUAAAUACUCUAACUACUGCAUCAUCUAUGUACUCUUAACUAUUGCAUCAUCAACAAUAUUCAGUAAAUACUCUAACUGAACUAGGCGAUUCAAGCACAUGCAUCACUACACUGGAGUACUCUGCACAUGCAUCUCUACAUUGGAGUACUCCUAGCACAAGCGUCAAGGAAUCAUCUACUCCAUCUGCAAUACUCCUAAAAUGAAAAAUAAAAUAAACUGCUAAGCAUUACUCCUUCUGAAAAUCAUAUGAAAAUAAUAAUAUGCUAAACUAAAAAGAUUCAUCUGCUAAACUAAACUAUGGCUUCAGUUAUGUUCAUUUUAGCAGCAGUACUACAACAUCUACUCUAGCAACAAUAAAUGAUGAGUAAAUGUUGGAAUUUCCAACCAUGUACACUAUGCAACAGUACAAUUCAUAAAGAUUAGUGCUACUCCUUUCAGUUACAAAGACCAUCCCUACUAUAUUGCAAAAACUAGACUGAGGAGACGCAGUACUGUAAGUGUCGGAUAAGCAACAUGAAAAUCAAUGUUGGAGUAAUUGUCUUACACCUAAUCAGUGCAGACGUAGCAACCGCAUCUUCACGAGCUGCCUCGUCGUCCAUAUCCCACGGUUCUUCCCUUCGCAACAUACAUCCUACUCCCAUCUGCAUCCCAUCAAGAAUCACAACCAUAUCCCAUCUGCAUCCAUAUCCCAUCCUCACAAGAAUCACAACAUACUAUACUCCUAAUCAAGAAUCUACCCACGCAGACAGUACGAGAAAGAUGCACACCUCGUGGGUCUUGCCGUCGAGCGUAGAGCAUGGUAGUCGAUUGGGACGGGUGUGGGAUCGCUCUCAGGUGCCGUCGAGAUGGAGGGGGGCUCCAUCGAAGAGAGCCUGUCGGGGACGGCAGCGUCCAGUACGGGCGCUCCUCCUUGCAGGUCGAGGGCGAUGAGGAGCGCCGGCGUUCAUUGCAGCCGUUGUCGAGUAGGAGAAGUCCGCCCUGCCCGCGCUCCGCCUGCUCCUCCUCAACCUCGGUAAAUAAAUCUUUGGAGCAGGUGACGCGUGCGAGAGGGAGAGAAGGUGGCGACGCGCGUCCGUCGGAGGGAGGCGGCGACGCGGGCGAGAGGGAGGCGGUUCGUCGGACUAGAGCUAGGGAUUUGGUGGAGGGGAAUGAGAGAGUGGUGCGGAGAGAGUGAGGGGAACGAGAGCGUUGUGCGGCGUCCGGCGUUGUGCUAUAUUGGAAAGUAAAGAAAAAUCGUUACGUGACAGAAAACUCCCAAAAAAGUGUGUUAUGUAGUAGUAUUUUUCAGCGAUAUAUUUUGUUAGAGCAUCUACAACCGAACUUGGCAAAUCCGGUCCCUUAAACGCCCGCGGACGCGCCCGGGUGCGUCCGUGGGCAGUGACCGGGCACUCCUAAAAAAAUACAAUCCACAUCCGGACACCUCAAUUAGCAUAUCUCAAAUCCAUACAAACUCAUGCAACUACGUCGACGCAUACGCAUCGUUCGGCUACUCCGUCACACUACACUAAACAUGCUAUCGGACUACCAAAAUUUGGCAUGUUUGGCUAUGGUGGAGUUCAUCCACGUCUGCGCUUGCCCUUCCCGACGCCCUUGUCGUCCUUCUCGCGGAAGUACCGGUCAAAGACGCAGUACGGAUCGAGCCGGAUCUGCUCGUCGCCGGAGCUGUCCUCGCAGUCGCUGUCCUCCUUCUCCUCCUUCGGUGGCAGUCCGUUCAUGGCACGGACCGCCCGAUUCUGCUCUAGGGCGAGGGCGCGCGUGGUCCUCCGCUGUCGUUUCUUACAAAUGUGGGCGUGGAUGGCUUCCUCCUCUUCGGCCGCCCUCGUCGUUGCAUCAGCCGCCUCCGCCGCCGCCAUUUCCGCCGCUAUACCAGCCUUGGCGGCCCUUAUCCUCUCCUUCCCACAGCGUGCUGCCCGUUCCCGGUGAGACUCGUAGUCUGCCCGACUGGUGAUGGGGAAGGAGAGGUGUUUCGGCUGCCGGGACCGCGAGGAUCCAGCACCAGAGGACCUGAGCGCCCGGUGAGCAGACGCUAUGGCUUCGCGGCGGACGGAUCCGUCUGUCGGUCGGGUGUUGUCCUCCCAGGGGCGGCUGAGUGUGCGGACUGCCAUUGCCUCCUCCAACCCACACGGGAUGACACCCCAGUCGAUGGAUCCAGACUGGUCGAAGUCCGAUCCGCUGUUUGCCAUGGCGGAGAAGGUCGAAAUCCGCUGGAGGUGAGCUCAGGUGGCGGAGGGAAGGGGAGACGAGUGGAGUGAUGUGGCUAGGGUUUGCUCCGGCGAGCGGAUGGGGAUGAAUGUAAGUGGGGUCUGGUGGGCCAGUAUGGGCCGGGUCCGACGUGGCGGGCGUGCCGGGGCGCCCCCAUAUCUGCCCCAUAUUUAGCUGGAUAUGGGGGUGCCGGUUAGCCCGGGCGUUUCAGGUCCGUUUGAGAGGCCCGUCAGUGUCAAAAAAUUAUGAUCGGUCAGUGACCGGGCGGCCAGCCCGGGCAUAUGAGGGGUGACCCGUUUUUUUAGAAAAAUCGGUUGUUUUUUUAUAUGAACGAAAAUCAACUAUUUGCUCAUAGAGAAAUGUAACAUAUUUUUAUAGUGAACAAUAUCACAUACCUUAAAUAAUAAAUUCCCGAGAAGGGAAAUCAACUAUUUUCUCCUAGAACAAUAUCAUGAACAAGUGAUUUAUAAGUUAGCCUAAAUUUAUUAAAAUCAGGAUGCAACUUAUAAAUCAUUAAACGUUUUAUGAUAUUUUUUAUGCGGUUGUAACUUUUGACCAAUAGAGCCACAUUAAACUUUAUUGUCCUUCUGGCACAACUAUUUACAUCUCACACAUAAUGCUUACUUCUUCUUAAAUGUCGCAGUUUAAUUGGAAGAGGGAAGGGAGGGAGGGAGAGAGAGAAUGUUGCAUUGCAGCGAGAGAGGCAAAGGGAGGGAGAAGUUAAACAAUGUGAGAUGUAAAUCAAGUGCAUGGUUAAAGUCUGGGUGGAGAUGGAAGGUGUGAUUGCGAGCUAGAUGCACCAUUGAAAAAUGUGGUGAGCCUGGGCUCGGGAGGAAGAGAGGCAAAGAUAAUGGGUGGAGGAAGAAAAGGAAAAGAGUAAUUUAACGGUAAAAAAGACAACAUUCGCUGAUGUACAUGAGGAAACUAAAGGUACUCCACUUGUUCUAAAUUAAUGUUUUCUUUCUCACGAAUCAAUGUGGAACUGUGUACUGACAUUCCUCCUUAUCUGGAAUCUCCAUUUGCACCAUCUAGAAGAAAAUUUAAGGAAGAGACUAAAAGGCACAUACAUGAGUAGCCUCAUUCUUGUCUUAGAAAGUUGGUUCUUAUAUGUCUUAGAAAGUUGGUUCUUAUAUAUAUGUCUUGGAUUAAAAAGAGCAUGAGAACUUGCCAAGCCAUCUGAAAAUGCCAUCAUAGCCAAAACUUUUUUUAGGUUGCUGACAACAUUGAGCUGGACUUGCUUUUUUUGCUACUAUUGCUGAAGACAAACUCCAAAAAAGGGAGUGAAAGCAGAAAGAAGAGAGGUUGCACAAGAUGAGUAAUGAUGGGUAGCGAUAGAGGCUGAAGCUGUGAUGAUGAUGCGGAUAUGACCAUUAGUAUGUUUCCCAUCAAGGAAACCUACAAUUUCUAUUAUGAUACAAAUUUUCUAUUAUGAGGUGUGUUUCUCAUAAAGAAUGUGAUUUCUGCAUGAUAGUUUUCUAAAAACGUGAAGGUUUUAUGCAAAGACUGACAUUUUAGAAGGAUGUAGUAAAAUGUAAACCUUGGUAGGUACUCCUGAAGUUGAAGCUGCUCAAGCAAUAGUAAUUUGUUUUUCCGAGCACUGAACUACUAUUUCUGGUUUUGCUUAUUGUUAUUCCUCGUAGGAUGUUCAAGAGGAACACCCUUUAAAUUGUGUACUUGUCAUAGCUUCAGGUCCACUUGUGAGCCCUUAUGCAAUUUUGCUUAAGUUAGAUUAGGAUGGGUUCCUUUGACCUUAUGGUCAUGUAUAUAACAACGAGGACCUAUUACAUAUCCUUUUUUCCCUCAGAAAUCUUUAGGUACAACUGCAUGGUCACGUG
RNAcentral lists this long non-coding RNA (6643 nucleotides) under Triticum aestivum (bread wheat). RNAcentral's name for it is "long non-coding RNA (TAES_LNC007653)". Lineage: Eukaryota; Viridiplantae; Streptophyta; Magnoliopsida; Poales; Poaceae. The record is from RNAcentral.